Long non-coding RNA from Cercocebus atys (sooty mangabey), 5083 nucleotides. RefSeq lists it as uncharacterized. The transcript has 5 exons. NCBI's taxonomy places the organism in Eukaryota, Metazoa, Chordata, Mammalia, Primates, Cercopithecidae. The record is from RefSeq and is a predicted model, not a curated record.
CAUUAAAAAGUUAUUUAUUUUUCAUGCUACUUUUACUAAAUCUCACUAUUUCUAAACAUUUUCAUUAAUUUUCUUCAAUUUUCCAGGAAGCUACUCACUCCGGAAAAUAAUGGCAUGAUGACAUUUCAUUCCAAUGCUGUGUCCAUUAUUUUAUAGAUGAACAAGGAAUUAAGAAAAAGAGAAAUUAAUCUUGUCUAUUUCUAGUACAUGAUAGAUCUGGAGUUUUAAGUAUAAUUUUUGUAAUUCUACAGUGUUUCUUUUAUGUAUACUGACAUUCAACUGUUUUUUAGACUUUAUUUUCCAGAUAUAUUUAUCAGUUCCCUAAGUUUUUAAUUCAUUGUGUAUAUUAAAUGUCAUCAAUUUAUGCAGCUCAUUAAAAAAAAUCUUUUCAAAGCAUAUAUGUUUUUCAAUAAAUCAAUAUAAUUAAAUAGAAACAAAAACAAGAGACAUAUAGUUGUUAAGUCCCUGAGGCAUAGAUUAAUCCUACAAUUCUAAUAUUUUUGAUUCAUUCAAGGAGUCACAUGGUUUAUUGGGCAUAUUGUUAAGCAUUUGAUGAUUGAUUAAUGCGUUGUCUUCUUUUCUUUCCCCAAUCUACUGCCAGAUUCUGGAGAACUUGUGGAAGUUAUAAAUACACAUCAAGUUACUAUGUUGCUCUAUAAUCUGAGUUAUGGAAUGAUUGUACAGAAAUAUGCAGCUUGUCUUCAUGUUUCUCUAAUAUUUUUUUGUUGGCUAGUUGUCAAGAUGACAAAUAUGCUUCAACUAUAGUCUUAUGCACUAAGUAUAAUGGAAAUGUACAUCUGCACUGAAUUUUCCUUUUUUCUUUGUUUUUAAAGUGCUGAGUUCAGAUACAAAUUUUGGAUUGAAAUCAAAUCUGGGAAACUUUGGCAACAUUGCUGAAAUGAUAUUCCAAUAUAUUAUCCUUUAAUGAAACAAGUAUAGUGGGAUGAUUGAUUUAUGAAAAUUUUUUUUGCAUCAUUACUUGACAUAUACAAAGAGUUUUUUAUACUCAGUAUUUUGAAAAAUCCAUUUUAUUUUUAAUAUGCUUAUUUUGAAAUAUGAUAUUUUACUUGGUGAGACUAUUAAAUCCUACAAAAGUAUUUAUACAUAAUCCUUCUGAAAUCCAGGAAUAUGUUGUCAGAUAUUUUAUUAUAUUCUCUAAAUAUUACAUUUAACUAUAAUGUACUUCCUUUUGCCUGACUGCCCCCUCUGUAAUGAACAAAGCUGAGUUUUCUAUUAUCCAAUCUAACCUAAAUUGAUGUGGCCAUAAUCAUUUUUUAAAAUAUAUCUUAAAAAUGUCUUCCAGACUACAAAAUUUCUUUAUCAUAGAAAUGUUUAUAUUGCAACUUAGAGUUUAAUUUUUAAACUAUUCUUUAGUUUUAAAUGGAUGUUAUUCCAAGGAUAGAAUUACAAGAGCUAUCGCUUUAUCCAGCCUCUUCCUGAUGUGGUUGGCAUCUUUAAUAUUAACCAUGUGCCUGGGAUGAGGCUCUAAAAUGUAAUGCUGCUGUUUGGUAAGGACAAGCUCAUUCUAUUUUUGGCAUCUGCUGAGUAUCCCUUGUCUCAGACUACUCAUGAUAUGAAUAUUAACAUUAACAGAAUAAUUGAAACCAUUAGCACUCUAUACCCAUUUGGGUUUUGAUCCUGUUUACCUUCAAAUGUUAGGUAAGCCUAGAAAAGGAAAGAGAAGACUAGAACCAAGGGAUCUGUUUUUGUGCAACAUUUGGGAACUGAUUUGGUUCAUUCCUUGAAGUCAAGACAUGUUGGUUAAUGGAUACAAAAAUACAGUCAUGUAGAAGGAAAAAUUUCUAGUAUUUGAUAAUACAGUAGGGAUAUUAUAGUUAAUAAUUUAUUAUGUAUUUCAAGAUAGCUAGAAGAGAUGAAGAAUGUGUGGGAAGUGGCAGAGACAUGUUGGAACCCAAGUUUGAUUCCAAGUCCUGUCCUCUCUUUUCCUAUGCCACACCAGGCUUUGACUACUUGUUCUUCUCUGCAAUUGAACAUCCAGCAGAUAAGAAAAUUGCAACUCACAUAGUUACUGGCUAAAGUCAGUGUGGAACUGAGACGUGAAGCUAGGCUUCCUGAAAUCAGAUACAGGGAGUGUCAUUGUUGACAAGGUGUCAGAGCAACAUCAACAUCUUGCUGACCAGCCCAGCUGGAUUUUAACAGCUUCACUGAGAAAGGCCACAUUGUGAUAAAGAUAACAACAUUAAGAGUGGAUACAAAAAAUAAGAGGUGACACAGUUUAUUUAGCACAUACCCUAAAAGAUUUCAGAACCAUAUUCAGGUUCAUCUUUAAAUUGUACUACCCAAAAACCUCUUCUUUUAGCUUGUUCAAAAAUUAUUUUAUUAAUUGGUUCACUCAUCACUUUUACAGAAUAAUCAGUUAGCGAACAUUGCCUGGCUCUAUGGUAGAAAUAAAGUGUCCAGGCAUGGUUCCUGGCUUUAAGGGACACAGGACAAUUAUGCAAAAACAUAUAACGCAAACAUUAGCUCUAAGAGAAGCAGAAAUCCUUAUGCACAUUCAAAGGAAAGAAUGAUGAAUCAUUUUUGAGAAAUUAGAGAAGAAUUCUUGGAGGAAAAUAAAUUUUGAAAUUACUCCAUCUAUAAGCAGGGUUAGUGGCUGUGUAGAGGGCCUUCUUGAAAAAUAUAAGAAUGCCAGUGAAGUCAAUGGAAAAAAAAGUGAGUAGUUUUGAUUUGCUAGAUCACAGAGUGUACGUAUUUAUUCACUUAUGCAACAAAUACUUAAUGAGUGCCUAGUUUUGAGGCUGUAUUCUACUAGGUGGCCGGUGUACAUCGAUGAACAAAACUGACUUGGCCUAAGCCCUUAUGGAGCAAAUUAUAACCUAGUGAGAAGGCAGGCAGAAAACAGUAAGCAAGCUAUCAUUAUAAUAUUCAACUGGUAACAGGGGCUACAAAGCUAUAAACAAGAGACAGAGAGUGAAAAUAAGUAACAAGGGAGGCUUAUUUCAUGUAAUCAGAAAUGUCUAAAGAAGAGAUAUUUAACUUCAUACCUGAAAGAUGAAAAGUAGCCAGCCAAGGAAAGAAGAGUAUAAUUCCAAACAGAGAAUACAGCAUGUGCAAAAGAACCUGAAGGAGUAUAGAGUUUGUAUUUGAGAAACAGAAAGUCACGCACUGGAGAAUAGUGAGAGAGGAAGGUAGAUCGAGCUGAGACUGAAGACGGAAAUGGACCCAGAUCAAUCAGGGGCUUUUCUUAGAAUGGUGUUUGUUUGGAACUACAUAUGAGAUGGGAAGUCAUGAAACAAUUAAACAGAUCUGUAACAUGAUGUUGCUCUGGAUGCCAUAUGCAAACUAAAUGGACAGAAAUAAGAAAUGGAAGUGGGGCAAAUUGCCAAGAGGCUAUUGUAGUACUCUAUGUGAGAAAUGGUGGUUUCGAUUGGAGUGCUUGCCAGUGAGAUAGAAGUUUUUGAAGCCAAGAUGUAUUUACCAGGACUUGCUGAUGGCCAUUGAGACACAAAGCUGUUAAGGCUGGUUAGGUACUGGGCAUGGGGCAGUCAUGUGAUUCAGCUUCACAUCUUUUACUCCUGGAAGCCUUCACUGACCUUUGCAGGUUGGGGCAAGUGUCCCCUCUGCAGUGCUUGCAUAAUAGCCAAAGGUAUCUGGCAUUGCACUGUCCACAUUAUAGUGUAGUUACUUAUUUAUGUGUUUGUUUCCCCGAUAGACAGUGAGUACCUUCAGGCCUCAAACCAUAUUCAUCAUUGUCACUUCUCACUUAUAAACUCAGAAUAAGAAUUGGUUGAAGAAAUGAGGUCAGGCUGAAUUUGUUAAUAUUUUUUGAUUUUCUAGAAUAUUAGAGGGAAAUGUAUAAUAAAGAGAUUCAAACAAUAUCAAUUUAAAAGAAAAUGUUUGAAGAGCAAGGCAGUAAAUUAAUCUGUAUAUUAAGCUGUAAAUAGUUUAAAAGUAGUUGGGCUUGUAAUUUUUAAAUUAUUUAACAUGCCAAAAAAACCUGUUUGCUUUUAAAUAUACUUCAGAGUAUAUGAAUCAAAUACUCUUUUACUAAAAUUUGUUCAUCCUCUAAUCUACAAGUAUCAUAUGAUUUGAUCAAAGCUCUGUAAGUUUGAUGAUUUACCCAAAUCAGUUUUAAGUCCCAUCGAUAAUUUGAAGUAGGAUAUUUGAGAGGCAGAAGACCUGGUUUAUAUUCAUGUCUCACCAUUAACUAGUGGGUCAGUUUAUUCCUAUAGACCUCCUUUAUCACUUCUCGUAUUGUUCAAGUAUGUUUACGUUGUGUUCACAACUCUCCUAGGGUCUGCAGGUGUUUAGGGAAAGUGGUGGAGGAAACUGCAAUCAAAUACUUUACAAUCUACCCUGGCCUAUACUUCCGGCACUCAACUAUAAUUAACCAUAGUGUCAUCUAGUAUGGCUAAUCUCCUGGUUUCCCCAAGACUGAGGGUGUUCCCAGAGCAUGGACUUUCAGUGCUAAAGCCAAGGAACAUGAUUUCGUGUCAAAGAGAUCUGCAGAAGUGGUAUAUGGAAAAACAUCUCCAAGUGUACAGUGUGAAGAUAUCCGCGUCUUAAUGUAAGUACUCAACAAAAAUCAUUCUUAACAGAGGGGAGCUUAGUAACUGGAUGGUCAAGAUAACUUAUUUUGUAGAUGUCAGUCACCGGUCACCUUGUUUGUGCCCAACAGGCACAUAAAUGAAAUGUUCAUUGGUUCAGCAAACUGGGCUUUUACUUACCACGGACAAUCUGGUUAGAGCUAUUUCCGAGUGCCCCACAUGCCAAUAGUAGAGGCCAACACUUGGUUUUAGUAUGACAUUAUUCUCCAGGGGUCCCAGCCAGUGACCUAUUGGCAGAUUGAUUAUAUUGAGUAGCUUCUAUAGUGGAAGAGGCAGUGCAUUUUUUUUUUUUUUUCUGGAAUAGGUAUUCUGGCUAUGAUUUUGUUUCCUCAUCCCAAAAUGCUUCUUCUAAAACCAUCAUCCUUGAACUUUCAGAUGCCUUAUUCACUGUCAUAGUUCACAUAGCAUUGUUUUUGACAUGGAAAUUAAGUUUACAGCAAAUAAAAUGUGGCAUUGGCACAUGCUAAUAAAAUUUAUUGAUGUUAUUAUGUCCCCAUCUAAUAUGAUUUUGCUGU